Molecule: long non-coding RNA, 1332 nt
Organism: Magnolia sinica
Lineage: Eukaryota; Viridiplantae; Streptophyta; Magnoliopsida; Magnoliales; Magnoliaceae
Exons: 2
Source: RefSeq, a predicted model, not a curated record
AUUAUUUACUGUUUGAAUGAUGUUGGCAACAAACACGCUAUUUGCUUCUUAGCAAUUUGAACUUUAGGAUUCAUGAAUUUUUUGGCAAAUGUAGAUUUUGCUUUUAUUGCUAAGGCUGCAUUUUAGAGUGCAUGUUUCUAUUGUUUGUAGUCCUUAUAGAUAUGUACUUGUCAUAUCUCCACGCUUUAAAAAGCAACUCUUCACACGCUCAAGUAGAAGAUGCUUUUGACUAUAUUUGACAUAACUGCUAUAGUCAAGGAAGCGAUGGAAAAGAAUCUUACUUAAUGUCAAACAUGACCAUUCUAUUAUUGACCAUAUUGAUGUAGUCCCCCUAAUUAAUUUCUUGUCAAUGUAAAAUGCACCAUGAUUUUCUUUCCUUUUUCCUUUUCUUUUACCUAUUCUCUAUGGGAUGGCAACGAAAGAGUACUAAUUGUUUGGUACACUUGUUGUGCUUUUGAUGCAUCUAGCCAACAAAAAAUGUGUAGCCAUUAAGAAAAGGAUUAAAAAAAAAAAAAAACUAGGAUUCUUAGUGCAGCGAAGUUUAGCCUCAAGGCUAAUGAAGAGUUGAGAAAUAGUUUUUCCUCAGCACCUAAUUUGAAUUUUGAUAAUGAAUUUGUUAUACUUUGGUCAAUUAUGAGCAUGUCUGAUAUCAACGAACUUUUUGCAAAUUCUUUUUUUUUGUCGAGUUGUUCAUAGCUUUUGUGGGUGCUUACAAGGAUGAGCAAUUUUCACACGUAUUGUGGGAGUUUUCAAUUGUAUUGUUUCAUCUAUUCGCCAGCUCACUGAACUCGGUGGGAGUUUGUUUCUUGAAACUAUGAUUGAACAAAUACACGGUACCUAUUGAUCAGUGAUCUUGCAUGCAAGUCCAAUGUAGCCCUUCUUUUUCCAGUGGUUAAUGCUGACCGGAGUUGAAGCAUGCUCUUACAGUAUUUGAGACUUUGAGUUGCAGUCUAUGUAUGUGACUGGAACAGAGAUGCUAAGAGGAAACUGGUGGUAAAAAAUGGACUGAAUGAUCUAUGAUAGCCAACCGUUUAAUGUUCUAAUUAGGAAAGGAUGAGAGUUUCUAAGGCAGUUUUCCUAAAAAAGGAAUCAAAUUUUUAUUUGCAGCAGAUUACCAGAAGCUGAAUUCUAUCGUUGGGGAGCAGGACUCGUGUGUGACACUGGCAACUAAGUGCAUUAAAUGCUAAUCCCACUUGGUUGUGGGCAGAGUUGUGUGAUAGCACAUCUGACUUUUGUAUUUAAAUCUUUCUAAUCAAGAGAAGAUUACUGCAUUUUACAUGUAAGUGGGGAUUUCCCGAAGGAAAAAGGUGGGAAUGGGAAUCAUCUACCUCG